CCGGCUCUCUCAAGUGUGGUGUGGAGGCUGCAAGGGUAACUGCAGAGUCCCCUCCAACCACUGGCAAGUCCUGAGGCACCCCCGAGGUCCACCCAGGUACUCCAGGAUAAUCGCCCCCUUCAAGACCCUCAACAGUGACAUCUGCAGAGACCUCAUAUCUGUAUAAGGGGACGGGGACAGUCCAGAAGCAUGGACCCUGGAAGAGGGACUGUCUGAUGAAGAGAAGAAAGAGGCCUUCAAUAUCAUCAACCAAUAGCCUGGAUGCAGAGAUAAAGAGGUUUUCUGGAGGAAACCAUGACGCUCUUGUCCUCUGCAGGGGAUCCAGGUUCAUUUGACAGCUAGUCGGUUACAGUUGGAGGGUGAAGCCAGUUGAGUACCACUGGGCCUCCAAGGACCCCAGCUCCUUUUGAACCGUCAACUCAGAGCAGUGCCCCACCCAGGCAGAGCGGGGAACCUUGGGCCUGCGCCUGGAGGGGACAAAAAAGAGCAUGGCCUGGCACCCAUCACACUGUACCCCCCACACCCCUAAUCUCCAUGGCUCUUCGCCUUUCUCUCCCCUGUUAGACUGUGAGCCCCUGGAGGGCAGAGCCCGCAUCCUCUCCAUCCCUGUUUCCCCACAGCCUCAUACGGCUCCACCAAUGUUUGU
Long non-coding RNA from Camelus dromedarius (Arabian camel), 646 nucleotides. RefSeq lists it as uncharacterized. The record is from RefSeq and is a predicted model, not a curated record. Lineage: Eukaryota; Metazoa; Chordata; Mammalia; Artiodactyla; Camelidae. The transcript has 3 exons.